UCCUGUUUGGUCAGUCAGUGGCUAAGAAUCCAAUGGAGAUUGUGGUUUCUGGAUAUGGUAUUCAAGAUGGAACUCACUGUGGGAGAGCUUAUGUGUUAUUCUGGUUAGUACAAGUAUGAUAGAAAAUGGCUCAGGGAUCCUCUUAUCCGUCAUCCCUGAACCUCUCCCAUGGCCAAGAUCCAAAUUCUUAUGUUUCCACUAAAAGCUUUCCCCUGAUCAGCUUACAAGGCCUCCGAUUUGUACUUCGACUUUCCAGACAUGUAACCACAAGGUGUCCUUGAAGAGGCUCUGGGUGAUGAGCACUUGGCAGAGGCAGGGAUGCUCUUUCCAGAGAAAUGCUUCCAUGAGAAUGAGACGGAAACAGCUUGCAGUCUAUUCAUCAUGGUUUGGUAUCCUGUGGAUUUUGCUGGAAUGAAUCAAAUAAAACAUUUUCAGGAAACAACUGGGCAGGAAGUAAAGGAAGACGGAAUUUCAUCCUGGGAGGUUUGAUUCCCACAAGUAUGGCGCUGCGGUGGGAGCCGCCAGGAAGCAUUGUCGGCACAUGGGGACCGUUGUGCUUUAUGAAUUCCAGCUGUUCAGAGCAUCUGAGAGUCACACAGUGGGGCAGAGCAAGACUCUAUUUUAUUCCAACAUAUUUCUAUUAGAUGAACUCCUGCUAGAAAUUGGGAACUAGCUAAAAAUUGUGUGCAUCAACUCAUCAUACAUGGACAUCAGGCAUAGAUCUGAGAAGGUGACUCAAUCCAUGCCUCUUGGAGUUGGGCCAGGUGAAAGCAUGCAUUCUAUGUGGAUAUGAGCCAACAUGAGAUCUGAAUGGAGCUCACCUCAUUCUAGGAUGAGGAGAUAGAGUGAAAUGUGGGUGUCGGGGAGGGAGACAAGUAUUUCCAAGUAAAGGGAAGAAAGCAACAUUCUAAAACCCAGAGAAAGGACAGACCUCUGAAAAAUAGUUUAUCAUAAAAACCAGGAUAAAAUUGUUUGGUGCACUCCUAGGAUGCAGGAAGACAUGACACUAUAAAAUGGGUACAAAAUACUAGAAAGGACGUAUAGCUGACAUGAAAAAACAGCGGCGUUAAGUGAAAAGAGGUACAUGAAAGGAGAAAACAGAACCAACGGAACAACUAAAAUACCAUAGUGAUCAUUCAUUUGUUAUUUAUUCGGGAAACAUUUAAUGUUCACAUAUGUGCCAGGCUCAAAAUAGAAACAGUAAGAAGAGUUAACAUGGUCAAAACUGAAUCAGAGACAUGGAAGAUAAAUUAGGGAAGAUUCUCAAAAAUGUAGGGAGGACAAAGAGAUGGAAAUGAGAGAGAAGAUGAUUGACAUGGAAGACAGGAACUGGAGAUUUAAUCUAGCAAUAACAGAUGCUUCUGGUGAUUCAAAAAAAAGCAAACAAGGACAAUUGGAAUACAAACCAUGAUCAAAGAAAAAUUUCCUGAGUUUAAAAAGAACAAACAAAUAUGAUAUGUAAGCAGAACUAGUUUACCACAUUCCAGAUGAAAUCAAUGAAAAGAGAAUAAUCUUUAGGCAAAACCUGAAAUUUUAAAAAAUUAAUAAUGAUUUAAAAAAUAUUCAUGUAGGGUAAAAAUUACCUAUGAAGAAACAGCACCCAGGCUGGCUCCAGACCUUCCUUUUGUAAAACAAAAUGCCAGAUGAAAAUGUAGCAAAAAAUUGCCAAAGUUGUGAAGCUAAAUGGUUGAAAACAAGUAAGCUUACAUACAACAGAACUUUGUAUAAAAAUGCAAAGAUAGCUUGAAAUAUGUUAGAUUUUGGAAAACAUCAUGAAAAUUACUAUAACUAUUCCAACUUACUGAGGGCUUGGGGUUCUGUAAAUAACACCCAUCUUCUCCGCCUAAGUUCUGAACUAAUUUAGAAAUAGAAGUUGGGCAGAUGGGCCAAAAUAUUCCUGUCAUGUUUUUGAUAACGCUCAUAUUGGAGAAUGUGCCUUAUAUCUGUGGACUACUGGAUUUCUUAACUAAACUCUAGGAUGAGAUUGCUGUACCCACAAAUGUCUUUUCCUUGUGGGUAUGUGUUCUGAGAAACGUCCAGCAUAGAGAGGCUGAGCUUCAGAACAGGUGCUUCCUGAAGGCAGGCUUGGUUCAGAAAGGAUGAGGCCAUUCCAAACAGAUCCAGGUUUUAGCCCAAACUUGCUGGUCAGGUAAGUCACUGUUCCACUCUGAUGCCCACCUAGGGAAAAGUGAGCAAGGGGAUGGGAAAAGGGGCCAGGAGUGUUCCACUGGUGACAUUAGGACUAAGGAAGAAGCAUCCCCCUUCUCCCUGUUGCAUCAAUCCAACCUCCCUUCCUGUGCCCCCUCCCCACCCGAUGCAGCUGCCUGAAAAAUAAAUGAAAAUGAAAAACUGAAUAUUGGAGAAGUUGUGAUAUAAAAGGUCUGACAUUUGUGCUCCUUAUUGGAACCUAUACU
Hipposideros armiger (great roundleaf bat) is the source of this 2414-nucleotide long non-coding RNA. RefSeq lists it as uncharacterized. The transcript is spliced from 3 exons. The record is from RefSeq and is a predicted model, not a curated record. NCBI's taxonomy places the organism in Eukaryota, Metazoa, Chordata, Mammalia, Chiroptera, Hipposideridae.